Molecule: unclassified non-coding RNA, 164 nt
Organism: Chinchilla lanigera (long-tailed chinchilla)
Lineage: Eukaryota; Metazoa; Chordata; Mammalia; Rodentia; Chinchillidae
Source: Ensembl
UCAGCAGCUCUAGAAUCUGCAAUCCUUUAUUUAUCUGGUUAGUAAGAAUAGUACAGACAGCAGCAGUUGGUUCUCCCCAACACUGUCUCCCAUGAGCCUAACCUAGUCCCGAACUCUUGCGAUGGGCAGGAAUGUGGCUUUGGCCUCUAGGACAUUGAGGUGGG